Molecule: ribosomal RNA, 254 nt
Filed under: uncultured bacterium
Lineage: Bacteria
Description: partial 16S ribosomal RNA
Rfam family: Bacterial small subunit ribosomal RNA
Source: RNAcentral
CUUUCUUUGCUGGCGACCAGCGCACGGGUGAGUAACACGUAUCCAACCUGCCCUUUACUCGGGGAUAGCCUUUCGAAAGAAAGAUUAAUACCCGAUAGCAUAAUGAUUCCGCAUGGUUUCAUUAUUAAAGGAUUCCGGUAAAGGAUGGGGAUGCGUUCCAUUAGGUUGUUGGUGAGGUAACGGCCCACCAAGCCUUCGAUGGAUAGGGGUUCUGAGAGGAAGGUCCCCCACAUUGGAACUGAGACACGGUCCAA